This 481-nucleotide ribosomal RNA is filed under the name uncultured bacterium. Its description in RNAcentral is "partial 16S ribosomal RNA". It matches the Rfam family "Bacterial small subunit ribosomal RNA", at positions 28 to 507 of the family's 1533-position model. The record is from RNAcentral.
GAUGAACGCUGGCGGCGUGCUCAACACAUGCAAGUCGAACGAAGCACUUUAUUUGAUUUCCUUCGGGACUGAUUAUUUUGUGACUGAGUGGCGGACGGGUGAGUAACGCGUGGGUAACCUGCCUUGUACAGGGGGAUAACAGUUGGAAACGGCUACUAAUACCGCAUAAGCGCACGGCAUCGCAUGAUGCAGUGUGAAAAACUCCGGUGGUAUAAGAUGGACCCGCGUUGGAUUAGCUAGUUGGUGAGGUAACGGCCCACCAAGGCGACGAUCCAUAGCCGACCUGAGAGGGUGACCGGCCACAUUGGGACUGAGACACGGCCCAAACUCCUACGGGAGGCAGCAGUGGAGAAUAUUGCACAAUGGGCGAAAGCCUGAUGCAGCGACGCCGCGUGAGCGAAGAAGUAUUUCGGUAUGUAAAGCUCUAUCAGCAGGGAAGAUAAUGACGGUACCUGACUAAGAAGCACCGGCUAAAUACGUG